RNAcentral lists this ribosomal RNA (430 nucleotides) under uncultured bacterium. RNAcentral's name for it is "bacterial SSU rRNA". It matches the Rfam family "Bacterial small subunit ribosomal RNA", at positions 354 to 776 of the family's 1533-position model. The record is from RNAcentral.
GUGGGGAAUUUUGGACAAUGGGCGAAAGCCUGAUCCAGCCAUGCCGCGUGCAGGAUGAAGGCCUUCGGGUUGUAAACUGCUUUUGUACGGAACGAAAAGUCUCUUUCUAAUAAAGAGGGAUCAUGACGGUACCGUAAGAAUAAGCACCGGCUAACUACGUGCCAGCAGCCGCGGUAAUACGUAGGGUGCAAGCGUUAAUCGGAAUUACUGGGCGUAAAGCGUGCGCAGGCGGUUAUGUAAGACAGUUGUGAAAUCCCCGGGCUCAACCUGGGAACUGCAUCUGUGACUGCAUAGCUAGAGUACGGUAGAGGGGGAUGGAAUUCCGCGUGUAGCAGUGAAAUGCGUAGAUAUGCGGAGGAACACCGAUGGCGAAGGCAAUCCCCUGGACCUGUACUGACGCUCAUGCACGAAAGCGUGGGGAGCAAACAGG